RNAcentral lists this ribosomal RNA (253 nucleotides) under uncultured bacterium. RNAcentral's name for it is "partial 16S ribosomal RNA". It matches the Rfam family "Bacterial small subunit ribosomal RNA", at positions 524 to 776 of the family's 1533-position model. The record is from RNAcentral.
UACGUAGGGUGCAAGCGUUAAUCGGAAUUACUGGGCGUAAAGCGUGCGCAGGCGGUUUUGUAAGUCUGUCGUGAAAUCCCCGGGCUCAACCUGGGAAUUGCGAUGGAGACUGCAAGGCUAGAAUCUGGCAGAGGGGGGUAGAAUUCCACGUGUAGCAGUGAAAUGCGUAGAGAUGUGGAGGAACACCGAUGGCGAAGGCAACCCCCUGGGUCAAGAUUGACGCUCAUGCACGAAAGCGUGGGGAGCAAACAGG